Molecule: ribosomal RNA, 520 nt
Filed under: uncultured bacterium
Lineage: Bacteria
Description: bacterial SSU rRNA
Rfam family: Bacterial small subunit ribosomal RNA
Source: RNAcentral
GCGGUGGAGCAUGUUGUUUAAUUCGAACAACGCGCAGAACCUUACCUGGGCUUGACAUGCUAGUGGUACAACUCCGAAAGGAGAAGGACCCUCUUCGGGGGGAGCUAGCGCAGGUGUUGCAUGGCUGUCGUCAGCUCGUGUCGUGAGAUGUUGGGUUAAGUCCCGUAACGAGCGAAACCCUUGUCCUUAGUUGCCAGCGGGUAGUGCCGGGGACUCUAAGGAGACUGCCGGUGUUAAACCGGAGGAAGGUGGGGAUGACGUCAAGUCCUCAUGGCCCUUACGCCCAGGGCUACAAACGUGCCACAAUGGCCGGUACAAAGGGAAGCCAAACCGUGAGGUGGAGCAAAUCCCAAAAAGCCGGUCUUAGUUCGGAUUGAAGGCUGCAAUUCGCCUUCAUGAAGCUGGAAUCGCUAGUAACCGUGGAUCAGCCACGCCACGGUGAAUAUGUUCCUGAGCCUUGUACACACCGCCCGUCAAGCCACGAGAGCCGGGAGUGCCCGAAGUCGCUGACCCAACCGAU